GAUGAACGCUAGCUACAGGCUUAACACAUGCAAGUCGAGGGGAAACGGCAUCGAAAGCUUGCUUUUGAUGGGCGUCGACCGGCGCACGGGUGAGUAACGCGUAUCCACCCUGCCCAUCACUUGCGAAUAACCUUGCGAAAGUAAGACUAAUGCCCAAUGACAUCCCACGAAGGCAUCCGAAUGGGAUUCAAGAUUUAUCGGUGAUGGAUGGGGAUGCGUCUGAUUAGCUUGUUGGCGGGGUGACGGCCCACCAAGGCAACGAUCAGUAGGGGUUCUGAGAGGAAGGUCCCCCACAUUGGAACUGGGACACGGUCCAAACUCCUACGGGAGGCAGCAGUGAGGAACAGUGGGCAAUGGGCGAGAGCCUGAACCAGCCAAGUAGCGUGCAGGAUGACGGCGCUAUGGGUUGUAAACUGCUUUUAUAAGGGAAUAAAGUGGGUCACGGGGGACUUAUUGCAUGUACCUGAUGAAUAAGGACCGGCUAAUUCCGUG
RNAcentral lists this ribosomal RNA (492 nucleotides) under uncultured bacterium. Its description in RNAcentral is "partial 16S ribosomal RNA". It matches the Rfam family "Bacterial small subunit ribosomal RNA", at positions 28 to 507 of the family's 1533-position model. The record is from RNAcentral.